This 419-nucleotide ribosomal RNA is filed under the name bacterium. RNAcentral describes it as "partial 16S ribosomal RNA". It matches the Rfam family "Bacterial small subunit ribosomal RNA", at positions 355 to 776 of the family's 1533-position model. The record is from RNAcentral.
UGGGGGAUAUUGCACAAUGGGCGAAAGCCUGAUGCAGCGACGCCGCGUGGGGGAUGAAGGCCUUCGGGUUGUAAACUUCUUUUGCUCUGAACAAGGCGCACCAUGGGGUGUGUUGAGUGUAGGGGUUGAUUAGCGCCGGCUAACUACGUGCCAGCAGCCGCGGUAAUACGUAGGGCGCGAGCGUUGUCCGGAAUUAUUGGGCGUAAAGGGCUUGUAGGUGGCUGGUUGCGUCUGUCGUGAAAGCUCAUGGCUUAACUGGGGGUUUGCGGUGGGUACGGGCUGGCUUGAGUGCAGUAGGUGAGGCUGGAAUUCCUGGUGUAGCGGUGGAAUGCGCAGAUAUCAGGAGGAAUACCGGUGGCGAAGGCGGGUCUCUGGGCUGUUACUGACACUGAGGAGCGAAAGCAUGGGGAGCGAACAGG